This 698-nucleotide unclassified non-coding RNA is filed under the name Hevea brasiliensis (rubber tree). The record is from RNAcentral. Lineage: Eukaryota; Viridiplantae; Streptophyta; Magnoliopsida; Malpighiales; Euphorbiaceae.
AAAAAAAAAAAAAAAAAAAUAGAACUUAUUUAAACUAGCAGAAAACAUAUGCGACUUCAAGCCAUAUCAACAACCAUGAAUAUAAAUUUGCAAUGAAACAAAGACUAAGCAUAAACAAGUUAAUAGACCAAAAACAGAGUCAUAACAAAAGUAAAAAAAUAAUAAUUUUAUUUUCAAUUUGUGAUAUCAGUACACAAUAAAGGUUUGAGAAAGGUGAAACUCUGUUUAUAAUGCAACGCCCAUUUAUAACGAAUAAAAAAUUCUAGAUAUGAAUGGGAUCUACAUAACCAACAACUCAGAAUUAAUAGAACUAAAAAAAGGAAAUUCUAAAUUAACAGUUUAACACUUAGCAAAAGGUAAAGGGAGAAAAAGAUAAAAUGUGAACAGAAUAUAUCAUCUUCCACAGUACCACGAAAAUACCUUCAAUGCGAGCAAUGGUACAAUUGUCUAGAAACAGGGGAUAAAGGCAAAAUCGGGAUCAAAUAGGCAGAAAUGGGUCUGAUUAAGGAGAAAUACAAGGAAUGCCACUAACUACUGAGGUAGAAGGUAAACUGCAAUGAGGAGGUGCGUGAGUUGAAUGCUGGUCUUUCGUUGGUCCAUUUUAUCGCUCUGGUGAAGGCCAAAAUAACGCCAAUGGUGAAGUGGUGAGCUAAGGGAUGGCGUUAGGCAGGAGAUUCGUUUUAUUAAAGAGCUGAUGA